This 918-nucleotide ribosomal RNA is filed under the name Listeria booriae. Its description in RNAcentral is "partial 23S ribosomal RNA". It matches the Rfam family "Bacterial large subunit ribosomal RNA", at positions 589 to 1504 of the family's 2925-position model. Lineage: Bacteria; Bacillati; Bacillota; Bacilli; Caryophanales; Listeriaceae. The record is from RNAcentral.
AUGGGUGAUAGCGUGCCUUUUGUAGAAUGAACCGGCGAGUUACGAUUUGUUGCAAGGUUAAGCGGAAAAAGCGGAGCCGUAGCGAAAGCGAGUCUGAAUAGGGCGCAUGAGUAACAGGUCGUAGACCCGAAACCAGGUGAUCUACCCAUGUCCAGGAUGAAGGUGAGGUAAUACUCACUGGAGGUCCGAACCCACGCACGUUGAAAAGUGCGGGGAUGAGGUGUGGGUAGCGGAGAAAUUCCAAUCGAACCUGGAGAUAGCUGGUUCUCUCCGAAAUAGCUUUAGGGCUAGCCUCGAGGUAAAGAGUCGUGGAGGUAGAGCACUGUUUGGACUAGGGGCCCUUCUCGGGUUACCGAAUUCAGAUAAACUCCGAAUGCCAUGUACUUAUACUCGGGAGUCAGACUGCGAGUGAUAAGAUCCGUAGUCGAAAGGGAAACAGCCCAGACCACCAGUUAAGGUCCCAAAAUAUAUGUUAAGUGGAAAAGGAUGUGGGGUUGCAUAGACAACCAGGAUGUUGGCUUAGAAGCAGCCACCAUUGAAAGAGUGCGUAAUAGCUCACUGGUCGAGUGACCCCGCGCCGAAAAUGUACCGGGGCUAAACAUAUUACCGAAACUGUGGAUGAACCUCUUCGGAGGUUCGUGGUAGGAGAGCGUUCUAAGGGCGGUGAAGUCAGACCGGAAGGACUGGUGGAGCGCUUAGAAGUGAGAAUGCCGGUAUGAGUAGCGAAAGAAGGGUGAGAAUCCCUUCCACCGAAUAUCUAAGGUUUCCUGAGGAAGGCUCGUCCGCUCAGGGUUAGUCGGGACCUAAGCUGAGGCCGAUAGGCGUAGGCGAUGGACAACAGGUAGAUAUUCCUGUACCAGUGCGAGUUGUUUGAGCAAUGGGGUGACACAGAAGGAUAGGGAAUCGCACAGAUGGAAA